This 165-nucleotide ribosomal RNA is filed under the name Oidiodendron sp. RNAcentral describes it as "partial large subunit ribosomal RNA". It matches the Rfam family "Eukaryotic large subunit ribosomal RNA", at positions 99 to 261 of the family's 3401-position model. Lineage: Eukaryota; Fungi; Ascomycota; Leotiomycetes; Myxotrichaceae. The record is from RNAcentral.
CGGCAAGAGCUCAAAUUUGAAAGCUGGCUCCUUCGGGGUCCGCAUUGUAAUUUGCAGAGGAUGCUUCGGGAGUGGCCCCGGUCUAAGUUCCUUGGAACAGGACGUCACAGAGGGUGAGAAUCCCGUACGUGCCCGGUGGCCGCCCCCGUGUGAAGCUCCUUCGAC